Molecule: transfer RNA, 57 nt
Filed under: Neotoma lepida (desert woodrat)
Lineage: Eukaryota; Metazoa; Chordata; Mammalia; Rodentia; Cricetidae
Rfam family: tRNA
About the family: Transfer RNA (tRNA) molecules are approximately 80 nucleotides in length. Their secondary structure includes four short double-helical elements and three loops (D, anti-codon, and T loops). Further hydrogen bonds mediate the characteristic L-shaped molecular structure. tRNAs have two regions of fundamental functional importance: the anti-codon, which is responsible for specific mRNA codon recognition, and the 3' end, to which the tRNAs corresponding amino acid is attached (by aminoacyl-tRNA synthetases). tRNAs cope with the degeneracy of the genetic code in two manners: having more than one tRNA (with a specific anti-codon) for a particular amino acid; and 'wobble' base-pairing, i.e. permitting non-standard base-pairing at the 3rd anti-codon position.
Source: Rfam by way of RNAcentral
UAGCUCAGUGGUAGAGCAUUUGCCUGGUACCCACAAGGUCCUGGGUUCAAUUCUCAG